RNAcentral lists this small nucleolar RNA (126 nucleotides) under Echinops telfairi (small Madagascar hedgehog). RNAcentral's name for it is "Small nucleolar RNA SNORA61 (ENSETEG00000026741.1)". Lineage: Eukaryota; Metazoa; Chordata; Mammalia; Afrosoricida; Tenrecidae. The record is from RNAcentral.
AAUCUCUUGAGAUCUCUUCCCCCUUGGACUUAAACACUGGGUCUGAGUGGCUGACAAAAAGGAGGAAAAGUAAACCUGAAAUGGACUAGGAGUUUUUAGUGACAUACAAGUUCAUUUCAAACAGAU